UCCUGGCUCAGAUUGAACGCUGGCGGCAUGCCUUACACAUGCAAGUCGAACGGCAGCGGACCUUCGGGUGCCGGCGAGUGGCGAACGGGUGAGUAAUAUAUCGGAACGUACCUUCAGUGGGGAUAACGUAGCGAAAGUUACGCUAAUACCGCAUAUUCUGUGAGCAGGAAAGCAGGGGAUCGCAAGACCUUGCGCUGAUUGAGCGGCCGAUAUCAGAUUAGCUAGUUGGUGAGGUAAAGGCUCACCAAGGCGACGAUCUGUAGCGGGUCUGAGAGGAUGAUCCGCCACACUGGAACUGAGACACGGUCCAGACUCCUACGGGAGGCAGCAGUGGGGAAUUUUGGACAAUGGGCGCAAGCCUGAUCCAGCCAUGCCGCGUGAGUGAAGAAGGCCUUCGGGUUGUAAAGCUCUUUCGGCCGGGAAGAAAUCGCACAGGUUAAUACCCUGUGUGGAUGACGGUACCGGAAUAAGAAGCACCGGCUAACUACGUG
This 491-nucleotide ribosomal RNA is filed under the name uncultured bacterium. Its description in RNAcentral is "bacterial SSU rRNA". It matches the Rfam family "Bacterial small subunit ribosomal RNA", at positions 17 to 507 of the family's 1533-position model. The record is from RNAcentral.